AACGGCGUGUAAAGGGCGGAUCUUUGGUUUGGUUUCAUUAAUGUUGGACAAAUAGGGCUACAGAGCGUGCGGAAAUAUGGUUAAUGGGGAACCACACCCCGAAACCGAUCAACUUUCUUGCGAUCCCAGGAUCUGGCUGAACUCCCGGACUGUGGCUGUACUGUGUCCAUUUGGGAUAAGUCCACCACUGUGUCAUUUUCUACAGAAUAUUGCACCCCAGCAGGACCAUCAGGAAUAUGGAGACUCAGGCCUCCUGCAGAUGGGCACAAAAUGUCAUUGAGGCAGAGACCCCCCUUCAGUGAAUCCUAAAAUAAUAUCAUCGUUGACAUGCUCCAUCAACAUGGUGCAGUUCUUCUGGGAAGGGGUCAUCCCAAUAUGCAAGAAAGACUCAGAGUAUGGCAGCAGA
Long non-coding RNA from Protopterus annectens (West African lungfish), 406 nucleotides. RefSeq lists it as uncharacterized. NCBI's taxonomy places the organism in Eukaryota, Metazoa, Chordata, Ceratodontiformes, Protopteridae. The transcript has 5 exons. The record is from RefSeq and is a predicted model, not a curated record.